This 84-nucleotide transfer RNA is filed under the name Paenibacillus lupini. Its description in RNAcentral is "tRNA-Tyr(gta)". It matches the Rfam family "tRNA". Rfam says of the family: Transfer RNA (tRNA) molecules are approximately 80 nucleotides in length. Their secondary structure includes four short double-helical elements and three loops (D, anti-codon, and T loops). Lineage: Bacteria; Bacillati; Bacillota; Bacilli; Caryophanales; Paenibacillaceae. The record is from RNAcentral. RNAcentral also lists the same sequence under 5 other names.
GGAGGGCUAGUGAAGUGGCUAAACACGGCAGACUGUAAAUCUGCUCCUUCGGGUUCGGUGGUUCGAAUCCAUCGCCCUCCACCA